GACGAACGCUGGCGGCGUGCCUAAUACAUGCAAGUAGAACGCUGAAGGAAGAGCUUGCUUCUCUGGAUGAGUUGCGAACGGGUGAGUAACGCGUAGGUAACCUGCCUGGUAGCGGGGGAUAACUAUUGGAAACGAUAGCUAAUACCGCAUAAUAGUAGAUGUUGCAUGACAUUUGCUUAAAAGGUGCAAUUGCAUCACUACCAGAUGGACCUGCGUUGUAUUAGCUAGUUGGUGAGGUAACGGCUCACCAAGGCAACGAUACAUAGCCGACCUGAGAGGGUGAUCGGCCACACUGGGACUGAGACACGGCCCAGACUCCUACGGGAGGCAGCAGUAGGGAAUCUUCGGCAAUGGACGGAAGUCUGACCGAGCAACGCCGCGUGAGUGAAGAAGGGUUUCGGAUCGUAAAGCUCUGUUGUAAGAGAAGAACGAGUGUGAGAGUGGAAAGUUCACACUGUGACGGUAUCUUACCAGAAAGGGACGGCUAACUACGUG
This 495-nucleotide ribosomal RNA is filed under the name uncultured bacterium. RNAcentral describes it as "partial 16S ribosomal RNA". It matches the Rfam family "Bacterial small subunit ribosomal RNA", at positions 28 to 507 of the family's 1533-position model. The record is from RNAcentral.